RNAcentral lists this ribosomal RNA (1438 nucleotides) under uncultured organism. RNAcentral describes it as "16S ribosomal RNA". It matches the Rfam family "Bacterial small subunit ribosomal RNA". The record is from RNAcentral.
CAGGCUUAACACAUGCAAGUCGAGGGGCAGCAUGGUCUUAGCUUGCUAAGGCCGAUGGCGACCGGCGCACGGGUGAGUAACACGUAUCCAACCUGCCGUCUACUCUUGGACAGCCUUCUGAAAGGAAGAUUAAUACAAGAUGGCAUCAUGAGUCCGCAUGUUCACAUGAUUAAAGGUAUUCCGGUAGACGAUGGGGAUGCGUUCCAUUAGAUAGUAGGCGGGGUAACGGCUCACCUAGUCUUCGAUGGAUAGGGGUUCUGAGAGGAAGGUCCCCCACAUUGGAACUGAGACACGGUCCAAACUCCUACGGGAGGCAGCAGUGAGGAAUAUUGGUCAAUGGGCGAGAGCCUGAACCAGCCAAGUAGCGUGAAGGAUGACUGCCCUAUGGGUUGUAAACUUCUUUUAUACGGGAAUAAAGUGAGGCACGUGUGCCUUUUUGUAUGUACCGUAUGAAUAAGGAUCGGCUAACUCCGUGCCAGCAGCCGCGGUAAUACGGAGGAUCCGAGCGUUAUCCGGAUUUAUUGGGUUUAAAGGGAGCGUAGGCGGACGCUUAAGUCAGUUGUGAAAGUUUGCGGCUCAACCGUAAAAUUGCAGUUGAUACUGGGUGUCUUGAGUACAGUAGAGGCAGGCGGAAUUCGUGGUGUAGCGGUGAAAUGCUUAGAUAUCACGAAGAACUCCGAUUGCGAAGGCAGCUUGCUGGACUGUAACUGACGCUGAUGCUCGAAAGUGUGGGUAUCAAACAGGAUUAGAUACCCUGGUAGUCCACACAGUAAACGAUGAAUACUCGCUGUUGCGAUAUACAGUAAGCGGCCAAGCGAAAGCGUUAAGUAUUCCACCUGGGGAGUACGCCGGCAACGGUGAAACUCAAAGGAAUUGACGGGGGCCCGCACAAGCGGAGGAACAUGUGGUUUAAUUCGAUGAUACGCGAGGAACCUUACCCGGGCUUGAAUUGCAACUGAAUGAUGUGGAGACAUGUCAGCCGCAAGGCAGUUGUGAAGGUGCUGCAUGGUUGUCGUCAGCUCGUGCCGUGAGGUGUCGGCUUAAGUGCCAUAACGAGCGCAACCCUUAUCGAUAGUUACCAUCAGGUUAUGCUGGGGACUCUGUCGAGACCGCCGUCGUAAGAUGUGAGGAAGGUGGGGAUGACGUCAAAUCAGCACGGCCCUUACGUCCGGGGCUACACACGUGUUACAAUGGGGGGUACAGAAGGCAGCUACACGGUGACGUGAUGCUAAUCCCGAAAGCCUCUCUCAGUUCGGAUUGGAGUCUGCAACCCGACUCCAUGAAGCUGGAUUCGCUAGUAAUCGCGCAUCAGCCACGGCGCGGUGAAUACGUUCCCGGGCCUUGUACACACCGCCCGUCAAGCCAUGAAAGCCGGGGGUACCUGAAGUGCGUAACCGCAAGGAGCGCCCUAGGGUAAAACUGGUGAUUGGGGCUAAGU